GGGAGGUUAGCUCAGCUGGUUCAGAGCACCUGCCUUACAAGCAGGGGGUCACUGGUUCGAAUCCAGUACUUCCCA
Molecule: transfer RNA, 75 nt
Filed under: Saprospiraceae bacterium
Lineage: Bacteria; Pseudomonadati; Bacteroidota; Saprospiria; Saprospirales; Saprospiraceae
Description: tRNA-Val
Rfam family: tRNA
About the family: Transfer RNA (tRNA) molecules are approximately 80 nucleotides in length. Their secondary structure includes four short double-helical elements and three loops (D, anti-codon, and T loops).
Source: RNAcentral